This 781-nucleotide ribosomal RNA is filed under the name uncultured bacterium. Its description in RNAcentral is "bacterial SSU rRNA". It matches the Rfam family "Bacterial small subunit ribosomal RNA", at positions 41 to 835 of the family's 1533-position model. The record is from RNAcentral.
CGCGUGCUUACACAUGCAGUCGAACGAUGAAGCUGGAGCUUGCUCCGGUGGAUUAGUGGCGAACGGGCGAUUAACACGUGAGAAAUCUGCCCUUGACUCUGGGAUAACUGCGGGAAACUGUAGCUAAUACCGGAUACUUUUCCUGGUGGGCAUCCACUGGGGAAGAAAGAAUUUCGGUCAAGGAUGAUCUCGCGGCCUAUCAGCUAGUUGGUGAGGUAACGGCUCACCAAGGCGACGACGGGUAGCCGGCCUGAGAGGGUGACCGGCCACACUGGGACUGAGACACGGCCCAGACUCCUACGGGAGGCAGCAGUGGGGAAUAUUGCACAAUGGGCGCAAGCCUGAUGCAGCAACGCCGCGUGAGGGAUGACGGCCUUCGGGUUGUAAACCUCCUUUAGCAGGGAAGAAGCGAAAGUGACGGUACCUGCAGAAAAAGCACCGGCUAACUACGUGCCAGCAGCCGCGGUAAUACGUAGGGUGCAAGCGUUGUCCGGAAUUAUUGGGCGUAAAGAGCUCGUAGGCGGUUUGUCACGUCUGCUGUGAAAAUCCAAGGCUCAACCUUGGACUUGCAGUGGGUACGGGCAGGCUAGAGUGCGGUAGGGGAGAUGGGAAUUCCUGGUGUAGCGGUGGAAUGCGCAGAUAUCAGGAGGAACACCAAUGGCGAAGGCACAUCUCUGGGCCGUAACUGACGCUGAGGAGCGAAAGCGUGGGGAGCGAACAGGAUUAGAUACCCUGGUAGUCCACGCCGUAAACGGUGGGUGCUAGCUGUGGGCCACAUUCC